Molecule: small RNA, 2062 nt
Filed under: Arabidopsis thaliana (thale cress)
Lineage: Eukaryota; Viridiplantae; Streptophyta; Magnoliopsida; Brassicales; Brassicaceae
Description: ATSL037790
Source: RNAcentral
UUUUGAAAAAUUUCAGAAAAUGAUUCUACAAAAAAAAAAAGAAUGUUCAUGUAGUUGCAUCACAUUUAGGAUCGAGUCUAGAGUGUUUCAUUUAGGAUUGUUGCAUAUGCAUAGGGGAUGAUGAUGAGAUAGCCUUGUAAGCAUUUUGAUUCACCUGAUAAACUCAGUGCCCUCGUUGCUAGUUGUCUGUUGCGUAGUCAAUGAAUUUGAAAUAAAACUGAACCAUGCCUAGAUUGCUCUACUCGACCACACUGUCAUGAUCUGAUACCAUUCCCUAUCAAUUUGAACCUGAAUCUGAUCUUUAAUUAUCAUGUCUGCAUCAAAUUUGAACUCAUGGAUACCCUAAAAUACUUGGAUUCUCUUAUUCAUUUUGAUCACUCUUGUUAAUCCAAGUAGCUGACUCUCCUUAUUAGAGCAGUUAACCCAAACCCAAACCUAGACUUUCUUUCAAGCCCUAUAUCACUUGUGAGUGUUUGUGAGGUCUUAUUCCGAUUAAGCUUGGUAGAAAGUGUUAGGUUCGUAACGACAGAGAUAGUGUCUCAUGUAGUUCUAGUUCACAUUUUUCGGACUAGAUAGAACUAGGUGGGUGCUUAUACUUUGGGUUGGGAUGUGUUUAAUAGAAAAAAAAGGAGAGGUUGAUUCAUUGAUGAGAAAAGGUAAAGGACUCUAGGUGAAGUAAGCUAAAAAAGCAGAAAAAGUCUAGUAAAGGUUUUGGGAUUUGUAAAGAAAAGAAAGAGUUCUUGUUAGCUAUUGAAGAUGGGCAAAAGCCCUUGGUUUUAAAAUGUUAAAAACAGGAACCUUAGUUGUUAAAGAAAUCCAAAUCCGCUAGAUAUAUCAAAGUGUUGAAGCUUCGCCUAGAGUUAAGAGAAAAGAAAAGAAUGAUUAGAAAAAGGGCUUAAAAGAUUCAUGAACGCAAAGGGUAGAGUUUAGUUCUUGUAUUGGGAUUGGAGAUGGGAUUACCAUUAGAGCUUCAUUUGAUGUACUCUGGGUAGAUGGGAUCUUAUCUCUGUAUGCAUAGCUUGGGACUUACCUUUAGCAUUCUACUAAAGCUUAAUCAUUUUUUGAGAGAUCCCCUGUUACUAAAGCCUAUUCUGUAAGGGACCAUCUUUGUCUCUUGACCUUUUACCUUAGCCAAAUGAGUUCUUUGAUGAUGCAUUGCUUGAUUCACGUUCCAGAACUAAUGAAUGUUAAAGGGAUUGGUGGAUUUGAAAACUUAUGUAGGUCGAGCAUAUGAGUCGGAUUGAUUGAUUAAUGAGGCAUGGCUAACGUUUUUAAGUAGAAUUCGAUCUUGCAGCUUAGAACUUUCAACUUGGACAUUGAUUUCAUCUGGUUUAUCUAGUGCUUUGGCUCUGAGUCCCCGCUUUCAAACCUCACCUCCAGCUUGUUCUUGAUUGUUUGCUUGAGGGCAAGCAAAGACUAAGUUUGGGGGAGUUGAUAAGUGUGUAUUUUGCAUGUUUUGAGCAUCCAUUUGUCAUCACUUUAGCAUCAUAUCAUCACUGUUUUAUACCAUUUCACAUCAUUUGUCAUCACUUUGCAUGUUUAGGAUAGUUUUGCAUGCAUGUUGCAUAUUUGCGUUGAUUUCAGGUGAUUUGGAGCUGUUGACGAGCUAUCUGGAAGAAGCAGACCUGAUCAUGACAAACCACUCGACCCAGAGGUCGAGUAGGAGCUUCAAGAUCUCAAGAGACCACUCGACAACCAGGUCGAGUGCCAUCAUCUCCAUCACCAGACGGUCACUCGAUCACUUCACUCGACCUUGUCGAGUGUCUUCACCUCCAUCAUCAGACAACCACUCGACCUCCUCACUCUACCUAGAGGUCGAGUAUCUCCAUCACACCACUCGACUGCAUACUCGAUGACAAGCUUCAGAGCCUUCUUCAUUCCGCACUCAACCAGACACUCGAGCACAAGGAAGAAAAGAAGACUCCAGCUAUUCACUCGAGCUCUCACUCGACCACGUUGGUCGAGUACAGUUCUUAACCCGUCCAAAUACUUCGUCGUUUUGAGUAUUAGGGUUUCGGGAUAUUUGGCUAUAAGUAGCAUGUACUUCUCAUUUUCGCAAGGA